Molecule: microRNA, 23 nt
Filed under: Limulus polyphemus (Atlantic horseshoe crab)
Lineage: Eukaryota; Metazoa; Arthropoda; Merostomata; Xiphosura; Limulidae
Also listed under: 1 other name
Description: Lpo-Let-7-P16_3p* (star (passenger))
Source: RNAcentral
CUGUACAGCCUGCUAACUUUCCC